RNAcentral lists this ribosomal RNA (253 nucleotides) under uncultured bacterium. Its description in RNAcentral is "partial 16S ribosomal RNA". It matches the Rfam family "Bacterial small subunit ribosomal RNA", at positions 524 to 776 of the family's 1533-position model. The record is from RNAcentral.
UACGUAGGGGGCAAGCGUUGUCCGGAAUCAUUGGGCGUAAAGAGCGUGUAGGCGGCCAGAUAAGUCCGCUGUGAAAUCUCGAGGCUCAACUUCGAGCUGUCGGCGGAAACUGUCUGGCUAGAGUCCGGAAGAGGAGAAUGGAAUUCCUGGUGUAGCGGUGAAAUGCGCAGAUAUCAGGAAGAACACCCGUGGCGAAGGCGGUUCUCUGGGACGGUACUGACGCUGAGACGCGAAAGCGUGGGGAGCGAACAGG